GACGAACGCUGGCGGCGUGCUUAACACAUGCAAGUCGAACGGAAAGGCCCUGCUUUUGUGGGGUGCUCGAGUGGCGAACGGGUGAGUAACACGUGAGUAACCUGACCUUCACUUUGGGAUAACUUCAGGAAACUGGGGCUAAUCUCGGAUAGCAGCUCCUGCUGCAUGGUGGGGGUUGGAACGUUUCGGCGGUUGGGGAUGGACUCGCGGCUUACCAGCUUGUUGGUGGGGUAGUGGCUUACCAAGGCUUUGACGGGUAGCCGGCCUGAGAGGGUGACCGGCGACAUUGGGACUGAGAGACGGCCCAGACUCCUACGGGAGGCAGCAGUGGGGAAUAUUGCACAAUGAGCGGAAGCCUGAUGCAGCAACGCCGCGUGCGGGAUGACGGCCUUCGGGGUGUAAACCGCUUUCGCCUGUGACGAAGCGUGAGUGACGGUAAUGGGUAAAGAAGCACCGGCUAACUACGUG
This 468-nucleotide ribosomal RNA is filed under the name uncultured bacterium. RNAcentral's name for it is "partial 16S ribosomal RNA". It matches the Rfam family "Bacterial small subunit ribosomal RNA", at positions 28 to 507 of the family's 1533-position model. The record is from RNAcentral.